Molecule: ribosomal RNA, 433 nt
Filed under: uncultured bacterium
Lineage: Bacteria
Description: partial 16S ribosomal RNA
Rfam family: Bacterial small subunit ribosomal RNA
Source: RNAcentral
AGCGAACGCUGGCGGCAGGCCUAACACAUGCAAGUCGAACGAACUCUUCGGAGUUAGUGGCGGACGGGUGAGUAACACGUGGGAACGUGCCUUUAGGUUCGGAAUAACUCAGGGAAACUUGUGCUAAUACCGAAUGUGCCCUUCGGGGGAAAGAUUUAUCGCCUUUAGAGCGGCCCGCGUCUGAUUAGCUAGUUGGUGAGGUAAAGGCUCACCAAGGCGACGAUCAGUAGCUGGUCUGAGAGGAUGAUCAGCCACAUUGGGACUGAGACACGGCCCAAACUCCUACGGGAGGCAGCAGUGGGGAAUCUUGCGCAAUGGGCGAAAGCCUGACGCAGCCAUGCCGCGUGAAUGAUGAAGGUCUUAGGAUUGUAAAAUACUUUCACCGGGGACGAUAAUGACGGUACCCGGAGAAGAAGCCCCGGCUAACUUCGUG